UCCGGGGCGCAGCAGGCGCGAAAACUUUACAAUGCCGGCAACGGCGAUAAGGGGACCUCGAGUGCCAGGUUACAAAUCUGGCUGUCGUGAUGCCUAAAAAGCAUUGCAAGCAAGGGCCGGGCAAGACCGGUGCCAGCCGCCGCGGUAACACCGGCGGCUCGAGUGGUAACCGUUAUUAUUGGGUCUAAAGGGUCUGUAGCCGGCCGGAUAAGUCUCUUGAGAAAUCCAGCAGCUCAACUGUUGGGCUUUCAGGAGAUACUGUCGGCUCG
RNAcentral lists this ribosomal RNA (269 nucleotides) under uncultured methanogenic archaeon. RNAcentral describes it as "partial 16S ribosomal RNA". It matches the Rfam family "Archaeal small subunit ribosomal RNA", at positions 324 to 595 of the family's 1478-position model. Lineage: Archaea; Methanobacteriati; Methanobacteriota. The record is from RNAcentral.